CUGUGUGUAAAUAACUUCGCAGGCUAAGUGUCUUGAAAGUGGAGAAACAGUAGCUAUCAAAAAGGUGUUGCAGGAUAAGAGAUACAAAAAUCGUGAACUGCAGACGAUACGCCUUCUUGAUCACCCCAAUGUUGUUUCACUCAAGCACUGCUUCUUUUCUACCACAGACAAGGAUGAGCUUUACCUCAAUUUAGUUCUUGAGUAUGUGCCUGAGACAGUGUAUCGUGUGACAAGACACUAUAGCAAAGCAAACCAGCGGAUGCCUAUGAUUUAUGUCAAGCUUUAUACAUAUCAGAUUUUCAGAGCUCUUGCAUAUAUUAAUGGGAUUGGAGUCUGCCACAGGGACAUCAAACCUCAAAAUCUUCUGGUCAAUCCACACACUCAUCAGCUCAAACUCUGUGAUUUUGGAAGUGCCAAAGUUUUGGUAAUGACAAUAUGAUAUAGUUUUCCUGAGCGAUUGAAUUAAUGCCUUGCUGACAUUGAAAAAAUUUGUUCCCAAACCAACCAGUGAACCAUAUAAAUUUAUUUGUGUGAAACUUUCUUUGAAGGACGAAUUUUUUUUAUUAUGAUUUGAAUGGAACUUUCGAGUUGUUCAAAUAUGGUGCACUAACCAAUUUGUAAGCAGUUCUUAAGAUUUUAUCAUCAUUG
This is a long non-coding RNA of Olea europaea var. sylvestris, 648 nucleotides long. RefSeq lists it as uncharacterized. The transcript has 3 exons. The record is from RefSeq and is a predicted model, not a curated record. Lineage: Eukaryota; Viridiplantae; Streptophyta; Magnoliopsida; Lamiales; Oleaceae.